AAUGAUCUGCCAAUGUGUGUAUGACACUUGGCUCUUUCCUAUAGGUAUUUCAGCCACAAAAUCUCAACCAUUCAAGUGAUCUAAGCUAUAACUUAGUCACCACCAGCUGUAAUAGUAAUAGUAAAUUAGUAACAAACAAUUUACACAUCAACACUCUCUUCUAAAUGUUUUACUGAUUUUACUCCAAGUAACUCCCUUAGAUAGCAAAACCUUUCCCUUGGCAAUGCCUUUGUGAAGAUGUCUGCAUUUUGAUCUUGACCUCUGCAAUAUAUU
RNAcentral lists this long non-coding RNA (273 nucleotides) under Prunus persica (peach). RNAcentral describes it as "long non-coding RNA (PPER_LNC007369)". Lineage: Eukaryota; Viridiplantae; Streptophyta; Magnoliopsida; Rosales; Rosaceae. The record is from RNAcentral.